CUAUUUGGAGUUAAUUUAUUCCUUGGAGUCUUGAAUGUGAAAAGGGGUAAAUUAAUCUACGUUCAUAGGUGUUCGUUAGAGAAGCUUGUGAAUAAUAUAGUGAUCUUUCAUCAGGGUUGGAUUAAAUUGGUAAUUGAAUUAAUAGAUUGAAUGCAUGUGUUUGAGUAACGAUAGUACAUCCCUAGGGUCAGAGUUUUUUUUUAUUAUUUGAGUUUUUAUCCUGUUUUAUUUUGUUUUGUUUGGAUUUUAGUUUUAUUCUUCGUUCUUAUGGGAGUUUGCCUGAAUACUACUAGAGUUUACUCGGGAUUACUUAGAGUGAUUCGUUAUAAUAGU
This 333-nucleotide long non-coding RNA is filed under the name Salvia miltiorrhiza (redroot sage). RNAcentral describes it as "long non-coding RNA (SMIL_LNC011994)". The record is from RNAcentral. Lineage: Eukaryota; Viridiplantae; Streptophyta; Magnoliopsida; Lamiales; Lamiaceae.